UACGGAGGGUGCAAGCGUUAUCCGGAUUCACUGGGUUUAAAGGGUGCGUAGGAGGGCAGGUAAGUCAGUGGUGAAAUCUUCGAGCUUAACUCGGAAACUGCCGUUGAUACUAUCUGUCUUGAAUCCCGUGGAGGUGAGCGGAAUAUGUCAUGUAGCGGUGAAAUGCUUAGAUAUGACAUAGAACACCGAUUGCGAAGGCAGCUCGCUACACGAAGAUUGACUCUGAGGCACGAAAGCGUGGGGAUCAAACAGG
RNAcentral lists this ribosomal RNA (253 nucleotides) under uncultured bacterium. RNAcentral describes it as "partial 16S ribosomal RNA". It matches the Rfam family "Bacterial small subunit ribosomal RNA", at positions 524 to 776 of the family's 1533-position model. The record is from RNAcentral.